CCUACGGGUGGCAGCAGUAGGGAAUCUUCCACAAUGGGCGAAAGCCUGAAGGAGCAACGCCGCGUGGGUGAAGAAGGUCUUAGGAUCGUAAAACCCUGUUGUUAGAGAAGAAAGUGCGUGAGAGUAAAGGUUCACGUUUAGACGGUAACUAACCAGAAAGCCACGGCUAACUACGUGCCAGCAGCCGCGGUAAUACGGAGGAUGCGAGCGUUAGUCGGAUUUAUUUGGUUUUAAGAGUGCGCGGGCGGAAGCGCCAAGUCAGCGGUAAAAUUGCGGGGCUCACCCUCGCCGAGCCGUUGAAACUGCUCUUCUAGAGUGGGCGAGAAGUAUGCGGAAUGCGUGGUGUAGCGGUGAAAUGCAUAGAUAUCACGCAGAACUCCGAUUGCGAAGGCAGCAUACCGGCGCCCAACUGACGCUCAUGCACGAAAGCGUGGGUAUCGAACAGGAUUAGAUACCCCAGUAGUC
Molecule: ribosomal RNA, 465 nt
Filed under: uncultured bacterium
Lineage: Bacteria
Description: partial 16S ribosomal RNA
Rfam family: Bacterial small subunit ribosomal RNA
Source: RNAcentral